This is a long non-coding RNA of Canis lupus familiaris (dog), 2205 nucleotides long. RefSeq lists it as uncharacterized. NCBI's taxonomy places the organism in Eukaryota, Metazoa, Chordata, Mammalia, Carnivora, Canidae. The record is from RefSeq and is a predicted model, not a curated record. The transcript is spliced from 3 exons.
UCUUGAGCACCUUCUGCGCGGCCAUGAUCUUCUGGCGCUCGGUGAUCAGGUAGCACUUCUCGCAGGUGCACUGCUUCCAGCGGCACUUGCCCGCGUGGCCCUUGACCGGCACCAGGAAGCCGUGGUUCCGGCACCGCGAGCACUUCGGGGUCCGCAGCAUCUUGUCGGCCAGCCCGGCGGGGUCUGCCUUCAUAGCACAACCGCCACCUCCGGGAGCUGCCGAGCGAGUGCAGCGAGGACGAGCGGCGCCCCGCAAGUCCCUGGCGCUGGGGACUUUGGAUACACUUGUAACAAAGUGGUCUCGUAGGUCCCGGGAACUGCACGGGACCCUUGCAUUUUCCCUCCUUUUUUUGGAGUGCAAAAUGUGGAGGCUUUCCGUGUCUUAGUGAAUUGCAUGCAAAGGCUUGGGUGGAAGAGAUUCUUCGGGGAGUGCUAGUGCAUGUAUGUCGUCCAGGUUAUCUCAAGUCUUACCGUUUAAUUUUCCAAACUUUCUGUUCCCGCCACAGCGUGGACAGAAGAGGUUUCUGUAACUUCAAAAAAGGCGGAGUGAUAGUCAACGGUCCAACAGAUUUAAAGCUCCAGAGGAACAGGCCUCUCCGUACACACCCGUUCCAGGAGAAAAGCAUUGAAGGGGGCAAACCAUGUUUCUCCUUCCAAAAGUUUCUGCUUCUGCUGGAUUUCAUUUCUCUCUCCUGCUGAGAAGCAGCGGCUCACGGUGAUGCUUCCAGAAUAUUCUCAAGAGCUCAGCGCAGUAUGAUGGUUGCUCAAGGGUGUGCCCUACUAGCAAGAUAGAGAAAUGCAUUUCUGGCAAAUGGUGCGUUGCUGUUGUUGAUGGCUUCCAAGGUCCAAAAAAUGGGAAAAUUAAUCACCAACACCUACAUUGAAAAGCUUGUAAUCACAGGAUCAGACAUAUUUAAGAAGAAUGGCAGAAGCCGAGGCCUGGUGUCCACCUUGAAUUUCUGGAGCUCUUGGUUGCUGCUGGCUCCUUUGCAUUUCUCACCAGCAGCCUGACAAUAGGGAAUGGUUGCCAUUCUGAGGCUGAUUAGAAACUGGGACCUGAAAAGAGGUUUGUAAGGCCCUUUUCUGCUUUAAAGAAAUAUAUUCCUCAUUUUAAUAAGAGGGCAAAAGUAUAUGCUUCCUGUAUUAUUUGGCCCUUCAGGGAUUUCACUGGUAAUUUUACAUCCAUUUAAAGAGAUCUAGGUUGUCUCUGCUUUGCUCUAACACCCCUAAGUCUUAGUUUUUGAUUUAAAAAAAUAUGAUCCUGUAGAUAAAAGAACAGGCAUGCUCAUUUUCUGACUCCACCAAUUCAAAAUGUCUAAUUUUUUCACUGAACUUGUCAUUCGAAAGUGGUACUUAAAAAUCAUAGUUUCAAUACUACUGUCAAAAAAUCUGGGGCAUAAGCUGCAUUGUUUCAUGAUAAGGUCAUAUUCUGCAUUAUCAGAUUUAAAUUUUAACAUUCGAGGAUAAGACAAAAAAGAACACUGCUCUCAUUUACAUUUCAUGCUUGACCACCCAAGCUCUCUUCAUUUUCCUAUUAAUGAUUUAAAGGAAAAUCCUAUUCAAAGCCAACUAUUCGAAUUAACAUAUUUUGGCCUUGUUAACUACAAAAUGCUUCCAUAUUUACUUCAUAGCUUUAGAGGCAGAAUAUACCCAUAGGUGAUGUGAAUUUGCAUCAUGCUUUGAGAACAUUAAUAAACAACCAUAUAUCUUUUUAAUCAGUAGUCACAUUAUAAGAUGCAAAAACCCCAGGGUUUACAGAGUAAACAAAUCUAAGAAAAAAGAAAAAAAGACUAGUUUAUUUCUCUCUUCCCUGGGAAGUCUCAAUUUGUGUAGGUAAAUUCCAACAGAGCUUUAUUUAUUUCACUCUUGGAAAUUCAGGAAAAUUGAUAGUUUUGUUUUAUUUAGUUUGAUGACUGAUUACUUCUUAGGCUGCUGCUUUUUUAAAGAAAUAUAUACGUUUCUUUAAAUUGUUAUUUUUUAAAAAUGGUAAAAAUGAAAAACUGAAGUCAUAAAAAGAUGGGAGCCAUAAGUAUAUAGUAGACUACCUUUUUUUCUCCACACCUAAACCUUAGGAUAUUUAUGUUUAAGAAAGUCUGCAUCCAGCCCCGGUGGCGCAGCAGUUUAGCGCCGCCUGCAGCCUGGGGUGUGAUCCUGGAGAUCCAGGAUCGAGUCCCACAUUGGACUCCUUGCAUGGAGCCUGCUUCU